This 367-nucleotide ribosomal RNA is filed under the name Porphyromonas gingivicanis. RNAcentral's name for it is "bacterial SSU rRNA". It matches the Rfam family "Bacterial small subunit ribosomal RNA", at positions 125 to 489 of the family's 1533-position model. The record is from RNAcentral. Lineage: Bacteria; Pseudomonadati; Bacteroidota; Bacteroidia; Bacteroidales; Porphyromonadaceae.
CCUGCCUGUAAUUAGGGGAUAGCUCGGUGAAAGUCGAAUUAAUACCCUAUAUUCUAUAUUUUUCGCAUGAUUGAUAUAGGAAAGAUUUAUUGAUUACAGAUGGGCAUGCGUUCCAUUAGCUUGUUGGUAAGGUAACGGCUUACCAAGGCAACGAUGGAUAGGGGGACUGAGAGGUUGACCCCCCACACUGGUACUGAGACACGGACCAGACUCCUACGGGAGGCAGCAGUGAGGAAUAUUGGUCAAUGGGCGCAAGCCUGAACCAGCCAAGUCGCGUGAAGGACGACGGUCCUAUGGAUUGUAAACUUCUUUUGUAGAGGAAUAAUGAUGGCCACGGGUGGCUGAAGGGAAUGUACUCUGCGAAUAA